UGCGAAGGGGGCUAGCGUUGCUCGGAAUCACUGGGCGUAAAGCGCACGUAGGCGGACUCUUAAGUCAGGGGUGAAAUCCCUCGGCUUAACCGGGGAACUGCGUCUGAUACUGGAUGGCUUGAGUUCGGGAGAGGGAUGCGGAAUUCCAGGUGUAGCGGUGAAAUGCGUAGAUAUCUGGAGGAACACCGGUGGCGAAGGCGGCAUCCUGGACCGACACUGACGCUGAGGAGCGAAAGCCAGGGGAGCAAACGGG
This 253-nucleotide ribosomal RNA is filed under the name uncultured bacterium. RNAcentral's name for it is "partial 16S ribosomal RNA". It matches the Rfam family "Bacterial small subunit ribosomal RNA", at positions 524 to 776 of the family's 1533-position model. The record is from RNAcentral.